This is a long non-coding RNA of Trachymyrmex cornetzi, 148 nucleotides long. RefSeq lists it as uncharacterized. NCBI's taxonomy places the organism in Eukaryota, Metazoa, Arthropoda, Insecta, Hymenoptera, Formicidae. The record is from RefSeq and is a predicted model, not a curated record. The transcript has 3 exons.
CAAUGGACAAAGCAUCCCUCUCAUCGAAAUAGAUGAUGAUGAUGAUGAUGAUGUUGAUGACGAGGAUAAUGGAGAUUCGCAGCGAUCAAGGAACUCGUCAAUUGCCAUUAUUUCAAUGUCGCCACGCGAAAAUGAAGAAGAGGAAGAA